Molecule: ribosomal RNA, 497 nt
Filed under: uncultured bacterium
Lineage: Bacteria
Description: partial 16S ribosomal RNA
Rfam family: Bacterial small subunit ribosomal RNA
Source: RNAcentral
GAUGAACGCUGGCGGCGUGCCUAAUACAUGCAAGUCGAGCGAACAGACGAGGAGCUUGCUCCUCUGACGUUAGCGGCGGACGGGUGAGUAACACGUGGAUAACCUACCUAUAAGACUGGGAUAACUUCGGGAAACCGGAGCUAAUACCGGAUAAUAUAUUGAACCGCAUGGUUCAAUAGUGAAAGACGGUUUUGCUGUCACUUAUAGAUGGAUCCGCGCCGCAUUAGCUAGUUGGUAAGGUAACGGCUUACCAAGGCAACGAUGCGUAGCCGACCUGAGAGGGUGAUCGGCCACACUGGAACUGAGACACGGUCCAGACUCCUACGGGAGGCGGCAGUAGGGAAUCUUCCGCAAAGGGCGAAAGCUUGACGGAGCAACGCCGCGUGAGUGAUGAAGGUCUUCGGAUCGUAAAACUCUGUUAUUAGGGAAGAACAAAUGUGUAAGUAACUAUGCACGUCUUGACGGUACCUAAUCAGAAAGCCACGGCUAACUACGUG